RNAcentral lists this ribosomal RNA (493 nucleotides) under uncultured Victivallaceae bacterium. RNAcentral describes it as "bacterial SSU rRNA". It matches the Rfam family "Bacterial small subunit ribosomal RNA", at positions 1 to 527 of the family's 1533-position model. Lineage: Bacteria; Pseudomonadati; Lentisphaerota; Lentisphaeria; Victivallales; Victivallaceae. The record is from RNAcentral.
UAGGGUUCGAUCAUGGCUCAGAAUGAACGCUGGCGGCAUGGAUUAGGCAUGCAAGUCGAACGAUCUCUUCGGAGAUAGUGGCGAAAGGGUGAGUAACGCGUGAGGAACCUGCCCUAAAGUCGGGGAUAGCCCAUGGAAACGUGGAUUAAUACCGGAUGUGGCGCUGAACUACAUGGUUCAGUUGCUAAAAUUUUUUGCUUUAGGAUGGCCUCGCGUCCCAUUAUGCUUGUUGGUGAGGUAACGGCUCACCAAGGCUACGACGGGUAGCUGGUCUGAGAGGAUGGUCAGCCACACUGGGACUGAGACACUGCCCAGACUCCUACGGGAGGCUGCAGUCGAGAAUCUUCCGCAAUGCGCGAAAGCGUGACGGAGCAAUGCCGCGUGGAGGACGAAGGCCCUCGGGUCGUAAACUCCUGUCACUCGGAACGAACACAAUGACGGUACCGAGAGAGGAAGCCACGGCUAACUACGUGCCAGCCGCCGCGGUAAUACA